UACAGAAGCCUCAAGCGUUACCCGGAUUUACUGGGCGUAAAGGGUGUGUAGGUGGUGUGAUUAGUUUUGUGUUAAAUCUUCGGGCUCAACCCGAAGCUCGCGCGAAAUACGGUCACACUAGAGGAAGUAAGAGGUAUAUGGAACUCAUGGUGUAGGGGUGAAAUCCGUUGAUAUUAUGGGGAACACCAAAAGCGAAGGCAAUAUACUGGUACUUUCCUGACACUGAAACACGAAAGCGUGGGUAGCGAAUCGG
Molecule: ribosomal RNA, 253 nt
Filed under: uncultured bacterium
Lineage: Bacteria
Description: partial 16S ribosomal RNA
Rfam family: Bacterial small subunit ribosomal RNA
Source: RNAcentral